UACCACAGACACUUAAAAUACCCAAAGACCUCUCCUUAAUCUCUCCGAACAAACCAAAUUAUAAUAAAUUUCUCUCUACCCGCAGAUUCUCUUUUUUCCGUUCUCUUAUGAGACGGAGAUGAUUUGUUUUCAGCCAAGCAGCACAAAAUCAGUAUGGAUUUUUCUUCCGCCUCCGCCUCCCCUCUCUGCCGCUCGCCGCCCCGCACUCGCAGUCGUAGAUGGCGUCAGAGUCGGACUUGUACCGCUGUUGUUGUCGUGGCUGCACUUGUGAUUACCACUACAGCCUGGCUGUCUCUUGUUUUCUCCGGCACUACUGCUCGGUGGUGUUGGCAUAGGCUUAAGAACUGGGAAGGAAGCCUGCACACGCUCCCGUGGAAACCACAAAGUCAGAAUCCAAAUGGGGUUGAGGAAGAAGAUAAGGAUUUGUCUCUUGAAGGAAUUGCUCCGUCUCUUCCAUUAGGAAGAAACAGGAGCCUAUCGGAGGAGGAGAGACGAAGAGAUGGAGCAGGGCUAGCGUUAAAUCAUAUAGUUUUCGGCAUUGCAGGGUCUUCUCAGCUGUGGAAGAGAAGGAAAGAGUUUAUAAGGCUAUGGUGGAGAAAGGACUCUUCAAUGCGGGGUCAUGUUUGGGUGGAAGAGCAAGUGGAUGAUAAAGAAUGGGAUGAGUCAUUGCCAAGGAUUAUGAUUUCGGAGGAUACUUCUCGGUUUCGGUACACGAAUCCGACCGGACAUCCUUCUGGGCUUCGGAUUGCGCGCAUUGUGUUGGAAACUUUUCGACUAGGUUUGUCUGAUGUUCGAUGGUUUGUUUUGGGAGAUGAUGAUACUAUUUUUAGUGUAGAUAAUUUGGUUGAUGUAUUGAGUAAGUAUGAUUGUAAUGAGAUGGUUUAUAUCGGCGGUCCUUCAGAGAGUCACUCUGCUAAUACUUAUUUUAGUCAUAAUAUGGCUUAUGGAGGUGGCGGGAUUGCUAUAAGUUAUCCUCUUGCCAAGGCGCUUUAUAGUGUUCUUGAUGAUUGUCUUGAGAGAUAUCAUAGGUUAUAUGGAAGUGAUGAUAGACUCCUCGCUUGUAUUUCCGAGCUUGGCGUUCCUUUAUCAAGAGAACAUGGGUUUCACCAGUGGGAUAUCAGGGGUAGCGCUCAUGGUCUUUUAUCUGCGCACCCGAUUUCACCCUUUGUGUCAAUUCAUCAUGUAGAGGUCGUGGAGCCUAUUUACCCUGGGAUGAGCUCUUUGGAGAGUUUGAAAUUGUUCACUAAGGCCAUGAAGGUUGAUCUUAUGAGCUUCUUGCAGCGAUCAAUCUGUUAUGACCAUGCACGCCGCCUAACUUUUUCUGUCUCGCUUGGUUAUGCUAUUCAAGUGUUCCCAAGCAUCGUGCUACCCCGGGUCCUUGAGCGCUCAGAAAUGACUUUCUCUGCUUGGAACAAGAUUCAUAAUCUGAAUGAGUUUGAUUUGGAUACUAGGGAUCCCUCCAAAUCUGUUUGUAAGAGUCCAGUCCUCUUCUUCUUAGAAGAUGUGGAAAGACAAGGCAACACUACUCUGGGUACAUAUGUGCGGGCGGGGAGAUUGAAAGAUGAUUUGAAAAGAAAAGUUCUCUGCUUUCCUCGUUCGGCUCCUCUUCCUUAUGUGGGGCGUAUUCAGGCUUUGGGGUAUCCUCUAAAGAACUGGCAUUUGUCACCACGUCGCCUGUGUUGCAAACUGAAUCAAACAAGUGAUGAACUCCUUACAAUAUCAGUUAGACAGUGUGGGAAGGGAUCUUUUGGUUCUUUUGCUGAUUCCGUGUGAAUAUGAAUGGUAGCACUUCGUCUACUCGAUAUCAUUGCUGGGGGGAUUAUUUUAUGCUUGAAGAAGGCCCUUUUCCCAGCCUGUGCUUUAUAUUGUACAGCAUCAUUGUUUGGCUCCUUCUUGCAACAGUGGUUUACCGAAUGGCAUCUGGCAUUUUGAAAACCAUGCUAACAAAUUGAGUUUAAGAUGAGAUCACAGACCUUCACUUCAUGGACUACAUUCUGUGCCUUCCUUUUUCUUCGGAAGAUUGCAUAACUAGCAAAUCAGGUGGGAUUUGUGGCCGAGAACCUCUCUCAGGAACUGGGAGGUUAGCUGCAUUUGAAGUUGCAAGUUGAGUGUGAACUAGUGCAUGCACUGUGCAUCCAUUUCACUAGUGACUAAAGCCAGGGGUUUAAAGUGGCUUUUGAAGGGCCAGAAACAGUUUGAUGGCACAGCAAAGCAUUAAGUGCCAGAAGUGCAACUUGUUCAUUCUGAUGGGUGCAAGUCCUUUUAGUUCUAGUGGGAGCUGUCGCCUUGAUAAAGUGGACAAUUAACGAUGCUUUAGGAGUCGUUAAUAGAUCACUUCAAGUGAUGGUGACCCUUUUUUGACUUGAUGGGAUUUUGCUUGGGAACCUAAAUUUUAUCCUUAUUGUUUUCUUUUUCA
Populus trichocarpa (black cottonwood) is the source of this 2416-nucleotide RNA transcript. RefSeq lists it as uncharacterized. The transcript is spliced from 4 exons. NCBI's taxonomy places the organism in Eukaryota, Viridiplantae, Streptophyta, Magnoliopsida, Malpighiales, Salicaceae. The record is from RefSeq and is a predicted model, not a curated record.